AUUUACUGUUCCUCAUAUUACCUUCAUCAGCACUGUGGAUUUUUGAGGAGACAAAUGAAGACAUUAUAGUUCAGGUUUGAUCUCAAACUCCAUUUGCAUUCCAAAACAAAGAACAAGUCUGUGUUUCAUUGUGAUUGUAUAAUAGGAAGUAAAGGACUGUGGCUUAUGUUACUUGGAGUUGAUUUAAAUUUUUAUGAACCUGAUACCUCUGAAAGGCAAUAAUCAAAAUGAAACCAUGGUAAUUAUUUUCAUUUGAAAACAUCAGAAUGGGACCUCAUUACAUUCCGGAGCCCAGUAAAUUCUUGGCAAGUGAACAAUCAGUAGCUUGGUAUCACCGGAAUCUGCUGCAUUUGAAGGAUGAAACACAUAUUCUUAGAUGACUCAACAUAUGAGCCUUAAAAGAGAUUUCAGAAUCGGCUUCUUUAUUUACAAAUCAGAAAACGGAAGUCCAAAAGGGUAGAAUGUGUCCAAGGUCAUGCAGCCAGACAGACCUGGAUGGUUUCACUCCGCCAUACUAAAAGUGAAAUUGGGACAUGCUUAAAAAAAAAAAACUUUAAAAUAAUAUAAUUAUAAUGCAUGAUCAUUGUUGGAAAUGCAGAAAAGACAAGAGGCCAAAAAAGAUAAUAUAAAUCAACGAUUGAAGCUCACAUGUAGCCUCUGUAAUGAUUCUGGUGUAUGAGUAUUUUUU
Molecule: long non-coding RNA, 688 nt
Filed under: Pan troglodytes (chimpanzee)
Lineage: Eukaryota; Metazoa; Chordata; Mammalia; Primates; Hominidae
Description: lncRNA (ENSPTRG00000053550.1)
Source: RNAcentral